RNAcentral lists this ribosomal RNA (823 nucleotides) under Limosilactobacillus mucosae. RNAcentral describes it as "bacterial SSU rRNA". It matches the Rfam family "Bacterial small subunit ribosomal RNA", at positions 634 to 1455 of the family's 1533-position model. The record is from RNAcentral. Lineage: Bacteria; Bacillati; Bacillota; Bacilli; Lactobacillales; Lactobacillaceae.
UGUCAGACUUGAGUGCAGAAGAGGACAGUGGAACUCCAUGUGUAGCGGUGGAAUGCGUAGAUAUAUGGAAGAACACCAGUGGCGAAGGCGGCUGUCUGGUCUGCAACUGACGCUGAGGCUCGAAAGCAUGGGUAGCGAACAGGAUUAGAUACCCUGGUAGUCCAUGCCGUAAACGAUGAGUGCUAGGUGUUGGAGAGUUUCCGCCCUUCAGUGCCGCAGCUAACGCAUUAAGCACUCCGCCUGGGGAGUACGACCGCAAGGUUGAAACUCAAAGGAAUUGACGGGGGCCCGCACAAGCGGUGGAGCAUGUGGUUUAAUUCGAAGCUACGCGAAGAACCUUACCAGGUCUUGACAUCUUGCGCCAACCCUAGAGAUAGGGCGUUUCCUUCGGGAACGCAAUGACAGGUGGUGCAUGGUCGUCGUCAGCUCGUGUCGUGAGAUGUUGGGUUAAGUCCCGCAACGAGCGCAACCCUUGUUACUAGUUGCCAGCAUUCAGUUGGGCACUCUAGUGAGACUGCCGGUGACAAACCGGAGGAAGGUGGGGACGACGUCAGAUCAUCAUGCCCCUUAUGACCUGGGCUACACACGUGCUACAAUGGACGGUACAACGAGUCGCGAACUCGCGAGGGCAAGCUAAUCUCUUAAAACCGUUCUCAGUUCGGACUGCAGGCUGCAACUCGCCUGCACGAAGUCGGAAUCGCUAGUAAUCGCGGAUCAGCAUGCCGCGGUGAAUACGUUCCCGGGCCUUGUACACACCGCCCGUCACACCAUGAGAGUUUGCAACACCCAAAGUCGGUGGGGUAACCCUUCGGGGAGCUAGCCG